Molecule: non-coding RNA, 514 nt
Organism: Carassius auratus (goldfish)
Lineage: Eukaryota; Metazoa; Chordata; Actinopteri; Cypriniformes; Cyprinidae
Source: the annotation of a RefSeq genome assembly
AUUUAGAAGCUCAUUUAAAUACAGGAUCAGUUCAUUUGCAUAUUGCUCAGAUGCUUCAGUGCUCUGAGAGUGUUUAUAGUGCUGUGAGUUUAACACUUCAUCACUGACACACACAACAAUCUUCAUCAACAUGACCUUCAUCAUCAUCUUCAUCUGGACUCUCACAGCGUUUGCUCAAGAGAGUAGAGGACAGAUCAGCGUCACUCAGAGUCCCUCAACAGCAGCUCAACCAGGAGAAACAGUGAAGAUCAGCUGUAAAACCAGCAAAGAUGUGUACAUAUACGAAAAUCAGUAUAAUUUUUUAGCCUGGUAUUUACAGAAACCUGGAGAAGCUCCUAAACUCCUGAUUUAUUAUGCAAACACUCUCGAGUCAGGAACUCCAUCUAGAUUCAGUGGCAGUGGAUCUAACAGUGAUUUCACUCUGACCAUCAGUGGAGUCCAGACUGAAGAUGCUGGACAUUAUUACUGUAAGAGUGUACACUACAUCAACAGUCAACAUGUGUUCACACAGUGA